Molecule: ribosomal RNA, 428 nt
Filed under: uncultured Chlamydiae bacterium
Lineage: Bacteria; Pseudomonadati; Chlamydiota; Chlamydiia
Description: bacterial SSU rRNA
Rfam family: Bacterial small subunit ribosomal RNA
Source: RNAcentral
AACGCGAAGAACCUUACCUGGGCUCGAAAUGUAGAGGACGAUAUCAGAGAUGAUAUUUCCCGAAAGGGUCUCUAUAUAGGUGCUGCAUGGCUGUCGUCAGCUCGUGCCGUGAGGUGUUUGGUUAAGUCCAGCAACGAGCGCAACCCUUAUCGUUAGUUGCCAACACGUGAAGGUGGGAACUCUAACGAGACUGCCUGGGUUAACCAGGAGGAAGGUGAGGAUGACGUCAAGUCCGCAUGGCCUUUAUGUCCAGGGCUACACACGUGCUACAAUGGUCGGUACAGAAGGCAGCGAAGCCGCAAGGUGAAGCAAAUCCCCAAAAACCGAUCUCAGUUCAGAUUGUAGUCUGCAACUCGGCUACAUGAAGUUGGAAUUGCUAGUAAUGGCGUGUCAGCAACAACGCCGUGAAUACGUUCCCGGGCCUUGUA